GUUUCCGUGGUGUAGUGGUUAUCACAUCCGCCUAACACGCGGACGUCCCCCGGUUCAAUCCCGGGCGGAUAAUCG
This is a non-coding RNA of Drosophila montana, 75 nucleotides long. NCBI's taxonomy places the organism in Eukaryota, Metazoa, Arthropoda, Insecta, Diptera, Drosophilidae. The record is from the annotation of a RefSeq genome assembly.